AACGAACGCUGGCGGCGUGCCUAAUACAUGCAAGUCGAACGCACAGUUUAUACCGUAGCUUGCUACACCAUAGACUGUGAGUUGCGAACGGGUGAGUCACGCGUAGGUAACCUGCCUGGUAGCGGGGGGUAACUAUUGGAAACGAUAUCUAAUAUCCCAUAAUCUUAAUUAUUGCAUGAUAAUUCAUUGAAAGGUGGAUUUGCACAACUACCAGAGGGACCGCUAUUGUAUUAGCUAAUUGGUGAGGUAAAGGCCCACCCAGGGCACGAUCCAUAGCCGGUCUGAGAGGAGGAUCAGCCACACUGGAACUGAGACACGGUCCAGACACCUACGGGAGGCAGCAGUGGGGAAUAUUGGACAAUGGGCGCAAGCCUGAUCCAGCCAUACCGCGUGGGUGAAGAAGGCCUUCGGGUUGUAAAGCCCUUUUGUUGGGAAAGAAAAGCAGCAGGUUAAUACCCCGCUGUUCUGACGGUACCCAAAGAAUAAGCACCGGCUAACUUCGUG
Molecule: ribosomal RNA, 504 nt
Filed under: uncultured bacterium
Lineage: Bacteria
Description: partial 16S ribosomal RNA
Rfam family: Bacterial small subunit ribosomal RNA
Source: RNAcentral